CUUCUCAUCGGUUUGGCAAUAACUCAAAGAAUCUCACUUGUGGAGAAAUCGUGGAAAAAUGUUGGUCAGACUCGUCUCGCGGUUCGUCCCUCCUCUCGCUCGGUUCAGUGCCAGUGCUUUUGUUUUUCCAGAGCUCCAUCUCUCCAACAGGAGGGUCAUCGGCUGGUCAGGUCCAAAUGAGAAAUAGUUGGCUCGUUCCGCUGGCGGCCACUCAAAUCCAGCCUUUUACUGUUUCUCCCACAGCGAGAGUCUCCUGUGAACGAUGCCAAAUCUGGAGAGUGGGACAUUUUCUGCAACUUCUGCCAAACCCAUUUGACCUAAAGUACCC
This is a long non-coding RNA of Sinocyclocheilus anshuiensis, 328 nucleotides long. RefSeq lists it as uncharacterized. NCBI's taxonomy places the organism in Eukaryota, Metazoa, Chordata, Actinopteri, Cypriniformes, Cyprinidae. The transcript is spliced from 3 exons. The record is from RefSeq and is a predicted model, not a curated record.